UUAGUCCUUUAAUUAAGGACUGGAAUGAAAGAAUUCAUCAAAAAUAUAAUAUUUUAUAGUUGUCCUUCAAAUUUUACUUUUUAGUAAAAAGGCUAAAAUAACCUUUAUAGACAAGAAGACCCUAUAAAUCUUCACAUUUCAUAACUUAAACAUUUUUCAUAAUGUUCUGCUGGGGCAGCUAGAAAGAAAAUGUUUCUAAAUUUUAAUUAAAUUAAACAUACCUAGAAUUUCUAAAAUUUAAUUAAGAUACUUUAGGGAUAACAGCAUCUUCUAUUUUGAAAGAUCUAAUUAAUAAAUAGAUAAGUGACCUCGAUGUUGGAUUAAAGUUCCAUUCUUCCGCAAAAGGAGAAAAAGGGGGUCUGUUCGACCCUUAAAUCUUUCCA
Molecule: ribosomal RNA, 383 nt
Filed under: Tityus trivittatus
Lineage: Eukaryota; Metazoa; Arthropoda; Arachnida; Scorpiones; Buthidae
Description: partial large subunit ribosomal RNA
Source: RNAcentral